AUGGAGGUUCAGAGAAUAACCGUGUUGAUGCAUGUGCAGCUACAGAAUCCGUGCUCGUCUUUUACGCCGAGUUGCGACGAAAAAUUGAAGCCUAAAGUAGGGAUGACAUUUGAGGGGCUUGAGGCUGUGGAGGAGUUCUACAAGUCGUAUGCACAUCAUGUGGGUUUUGGAGUUCGUGUCGGACAGCAGAAAAAGUUGAACGAAGAAGUGGUUCGGACAAAGCGUUUCAUGUGCAGCAGGGAAGGAUUUAGGACUGAGAAGAACAAGGAGAUUAAAGACCCAUCAAACCAAUCAAAGAAAAGCCGUAAGAAUACAACCACUCGAUGCGGUUGUGAUGCACAUAUCUUUGUCAAGUUGUGUGGCGACAACACCUACAGGAUACAAUCAUGGGUUGAGCACCAUAGCCAUGGCCUUGUAUCACCUGAUAAACGUCACUUGAUCAGAUCAAAUCGUAAAGUUAAUGAGAGGGCAAAAAAUAUGUUGUACACAUGUCACAAAGCAAGCAUAGGUACAUGCCAGGCGUACAGGCUCCUUCAAGUCAGCGAAGGGGUCAAUCAUCACUUACAGAGUGUGUUUUUUGGUGCGGCAUUCUUGUGCAAUGAGCAGACUGAGUCAUAUGUUUGGUUAUUUGAGACCUUCCUAACAGCAAUGGCAGGGGUAGCACCUAGACUCAUUAUAACUGAUGAAGCUGUUAGCAUGAAGAAUGUGAUUGAAACAGUUUUUCCGACCACAGUGCAUAGGUUAUGUAUGUGGCACAUAAUGGAAAAACUUCCGGAGAAGAUUGGACCAAUAAUUAGAGAAGAGUCUGAAUUUUGGGACAAGAUGAAUUCGUGUGUAUGGGGUUCGGAAACUCCAGCAGAGUUUGAAUCACAAUGGAAUUCCGUCAUUACGGAGUAUGGCUUGGAGGAAAAUGAGUGGCUGGUUAAAAGGUUUAGCAUUCACGAGUCAUGGAUACCAGCUUACUUUAUGGACAUACCAUUGGCGGGUAUUCUCCGAACCACUUCAAGGUCUGAAAGUGCAAAUUCAUUUUUUAACCGUUUUAUUCAUCAUAAGCUUGCUUUGGUUGAGUUCUGGCUUAGGUUUGACACGGCAUUAGAAUGCCAACGAGAAGAAGAGUUGAUUGCUGACAACUCAAGCAUUCAUACAACCCCGCAACUAUUAACACCAUGGGAAAUGGAGAAACAAGGUAGAGAUGUGUUUACAUAUGAGGUGUUUGAGAAAUUUCAGAAACAGAUUGUUGCAGCAAGAGACCAUUGUUGCAUCCAAGGCAUUGCACAAGAUGGAACACUAAAAAUAGUGACAUUGAGAGGUCGAUCCCAUAGGAUUAGGGAAGUUCAGUGUGUCACCACAACCAUGAUAGCUCAUUGUUCAUGUAAGUUAUUUGAAACAAUUGGAAUCCCGUGCCGCCAUAUCAUGCAGGUGUUGAGGGCUGAAAAUCAAAAUGAACUUCCAUCGUACUACAUUAUGAAAAGAUGGAAGAAACGGUGCAAAAGGGAGAAUGUGUAUGAUGAGCAUGGGAAUUUAAUAGAAGAGAAGGCAACCGAUUCGUUGAAUGAAGCUACGAGGAAGAAGAUUUCAGUUGUACGCAACAAGUUGGAAGAUCUAAUUCAGAAGGCCAAGCACUCGGAUGAAGGCAUGGAUUUUCUAACAUCAAGUGUAUUAAAUAUUGAAGCACCUUUGGAUGAAAUGGUUCCUACAUCAGGUGUGAAGCACACUAGACAAGAUGAGUAUGAGGCUUUUAUUGGUUGCAAUAUUCCUACUGAAAUUGACAUACACCCACCAACUGAUGUUCGCACGGUGGGGAGAUGCAAAAGAAUAAAGAGAGGAAAGGAAAUAAGUGAGGAGGAACAGAAAAAGAAGAAGAAGGAAGCCAAGAAUCACCAGGAAUUCCCAAGCACCAAGCAUCAGCUGUAUUACAUCAUGUAUUGCAGAAUACCUCAAAUCACCGGGGCCAAGCUAAAUUCACUUGUCUCUGAAAAACAAUACUCAACUAUAAUGUGGAAAACAUCAUCAGGCAGAGGAGCAACGCUGCAUGCGGUCGCAGUGUACUGGAUGGUGCGCAGGUUGCGGCCGUUGGCGAACUUGGCGUCGGGAACCCACAAGAAGGCGGGCGAGCGCGGAGGUAGUCCAGACAUGGCGGAUCUCACCGCGGCCGUCGCACACGGUCUGAUCAACCAUCUCGGAGAAGAACAACCAGAAGCAAUUUCAGCUAGCCAAGCCAUGGUGAUCACCCUGAUGCUCCUACUCAGUAGCCUCACACCCUUCCAGACAACUGCGGAUGAAUUCUGCGACAACGUUAAGUUUCUCGCCGCCACCCUACCCAACAAAAUCUCCUCAUCUCCCGUACAAUUUGCCACCGCCACCAUUGGAAAGUCCCCUGACAUCGUCUACGGGCUCGCGUUCUGCCGUGGCGAUGUCCUUAAUGACACCGCCUGCGCCAAGUGUCUCACCAACGUAUUGACCUUGGUGCAAAACGCUACGCCGCCGGAAAUAGAGUGCUUCAGCGUUGCCUCCUACUACAGCGAUUGUAUGCUUUUCUACGACUUCAAGAACAUCCUUUCUCUUUCAUCUAUAAAUAUUUCGGUAGGAGAAAACGGUGGCGACCCUCCGUUCCAGAGGUGGAAUGUCAAGAACGACGUCCGCCUCAUUGGCGGAGUCCUCAUCCAGGAGCUGCUUGUGAAGACAGUCGAAGAGGCGGCCAGCAGGACCCCGAGACGAUUUGCUACCGCCGUCAUGGACAGCGGCAGAGACUUCCCGAAGGUGUACUCCAUGGCGCAGUGCACGCCGGAUUUGUCUACUGGCGACUGUCUGGCAUGCCUGACUCAUCUCCUCGGGAUGGUCAACUUCACUAUGUACCUGCGCGUAGGGGGGCAGAUGGGUGCCAUCCGUUGUUUCUUAAGGUACGAGCCGCAUUUGUUCUACCAUGGUGAACCCAUGCUGCACCUCGAGACGUCAUUGGGGACAUCACCGGCAGGGCCAGCUCCAACUCCGACAGAACACAAGAGGCGUAUGCUUAAGGCGUGGACAAUUCCCGUAGCUGUCGCUGUUCCUGUAGCGGCAGCAGCAUUCAUGUGCUGCACCAUUUAUUCUCAUCGGAUCAUAAAGCAAAGAAAAAGUAAAGUAAGUAGGUUCCAAAGAGCAAUACCUUCUCGGGAUUUGGAUGGGGAGGAACAACUAGUUUGGCAAGAGAAGAAUUCCGAGUUUUUGGUGUUUGACUUGAAACAGCUACUAGAGGCCACAAACAAUUUUUCAGAAGAAAACAAACUUGGACAAGGUGGUUUUGGCGCAGUGUACAAGGCAAAGUUUCCUGGGGGGUUGGAUAUGGCAGUCAAGAGACUUGCUUCACACUCAGGACAAGGUUUCAUUGAGUUCAAAAAUGAAGUUCAGCUCAUCGCCAAACUCCAGCAUAUGAAUUUGGUUAGGCUCUUAGGAUGUUGUUCGCAAGAAGGAGAGAAAAUAUUGGUCUAUGAAUACUUGCAAAACAAAAGCUUGGAUUUCUUUAUUUUUGAUGAAAACAGAAGACGUUUACUUGAUUUUUCGAAAAUUGUAGCAAUAAUUGAUGGAAUAGCUGAUGGACUUCUUUAUCUACAUAAACAUUCACGGUUGCGAGUAAUACAUCGUGAUCUUAAACCAAGCAACAUUCUCUUGGAUAGCGAAAUGAAACCAAAAAUCUCAGAUUUUGGGCUAGCAAAAAUAUUUAUCUCAAAUAACACCGAAGGAAACACUACAAGAAGAGUAGUUGGUACAUAUGGCUACAUGGCCCCCGAGUAUGCUUCGGAGGGUGUCUUCUCUAUCAAAUCUGACGUCUUCAGCUUUGGAGUUAUUAUUUUUGAUAUUCUUACUGGAGAAAGGAAUUGUAGAAGCCAACAUUGUGGAGAUUUCAUCAAUCUCCUUGGAUAUGCAUGGAAAUUAUGGGAAGAGAGAAGGUGGAUUGAUCUCGUUGAUGCAUCGUUGGUUCCUAGUAGUCAUUCAACAAAGGUGAUGCGCUACAUUAACAUAGCAUUGUUGUGUGUACAAGAGAAUGCAGCUGACCGACCAAGCAUGACCGAUGUUGUUGCAAUGUUAAGCAAUGAGACAAUGAUCAUGUCUCAGCCUAAGCAGCCCGCAUAUUUCAACUUAAGGGUUGGAAAUGAAGAGCCAUCUGCAGCUAUCGAGACACAUAGGGUCGUGAAGAUAGUAGAAAGAAGAUCCAUCUCCCCCUCGUUCCCCACUGCAACCGAGCGCUGCCAUGGCCUCGCCGCCGUGAAUCGCGCGGCCACAGUCACCGCCUCGCCGCGCCUGCAUGUCCGUCGACGCCUCCAUCGUCUUCCUCGUCCACCGGAGGCCUCAGCUGGAGCGGGGGAGCCCCGAAUCACCGGAUCCCCUUCAUCCACAUCUCCGGCUGCUGCGUUCUUCACCAACUCCGGCGACAUCCCUCUGCAUUUCCGUUCACUCGAGGGCCUCCGUGUGCCGCGACGUAAGCCUCCGCACCCUCCUCCUUCCUCUGGUUCCUCCUCAUGCACCGUAGAUGGCUCGUGGUGCUGCCGUCGCCAUUGCCGCAUGCGGCCUCGUCCGCGAGCUCAUUGCGCUCACCCCAUCCAUCUCCGAGCCAAGCCGUGGCCUCCGUCGCGUUGCCGGAGAUCCAUCUCCUCCUCGUUCCCCACUGCAACCGAGCGCUGCCAUGGCCUCGCCACUGUGAAUCGCGCGGCCACAGUCACCGCCUCGCCGCGCCUGCGUGUCCGUCGACGCCUCCAUCGUCUUCCUCGUCCACCGGAGGCCUUAGCUGGAGCGGGGGAGCCCCGAAUGACCGGAUCCCCUUCGUCCACAUCUCCGGCUGCCGCGUUCUUCACCAACUCCGGCGACAUCCCUCUGCGCUUCCGUUCACUCGAGGGCCUCCGUGUGCCGCGACAUAAGCCUCCGCACCCUCCUCCUUCCUCUGGUUCCUCCUCAUGCACCGUAGAUGGCUCGCGGUGCUGCCGUCGCCAUUGCCGCAUGCGGCCUCGUCCGCGAGCUCAUUGCGCUCACCCCGUCCAUCUCCGAGCCAAGCCGUGGCCUCCAUCGCGUUGCCGGAGAUGA
Molecule: ribosomal RNA, 5055 nt
Filed under: Triticum aestivum (bread wheat)
Lineage: Eukaryota; Viridiplantae; Streptophyta; Magnoliopsida; Poales; Poaceae
Description: partial small subunit ribosomal RNA
Source: RNAcentral